UUUAGCAUAUGUCAAACCUUGAGAGAAAUCCAAGCAAUCUUUCUACUGUUAGCAAUUGAUCUCCCACCCAUCAUCAUAGUUGCUGGAAUAGAACUGUUUAUAAAAAAAGGUUUUAGCAUUCAUUUAUAUAACAAAGAAAGUCCAAACAUUGAUGUUCUUACCAAUCAAUUGCUUGUUUGAGUUGUGUGGGAGGAGGCCUGUGCAAUGAACAGAACCACAAAGCAGUGUUGUCUUGCAUAGACAUAACAAGAAGUUGC
RNAcentral lists this long non-coding RNA (257 nucleotides) under Vigna radiata. Its description in RNAcentral is "long non-coding RNA (VRAD_LNC004023)". The record is from RNAcentral. Lineage: Eukaryota; Viridiplantae; Streptophyta; Magnoliopsida; Fabales; Fabaceae.